AGUCAUUAGUCACCCAGGCUUAAAGCUGCCAGUGAGAACAACGCUGAGAUUCUCUGGACCUGGAGCAAGGGAGAAGCCCCAGCUAAUCAUCAAACUUGUCCUAGGAGCCAGUGGAUAUUCCUCUUCUGCUGCAGAUUUUUGUACAGCUUGGUCAGUCUGCAAGAACAUUUUCAUGUUGUGCUGACAUCAGAACAGCCAGUUAAAGGCAGUUUGUUGUGAUCGCACGUGGCCGAUAUCACUGAAUACGCAAAAUUUGGUAGCAGUCACACUACAUGUUUAGGCAGCUCUUCUCAGAGCCUUCAGACACUGCCCUAUGGAAAUGGCGUGCUAUCUGAGGCGUGGCAUGGACUAAAUACCCGUCUGUGGCUGGAGUGCACCAGGUGGGCUCCUGGAGCGUGUUUUCAAGCAUGUGUUUCAUCUGAAAGGCGUUGGGUUCAUCUCUUCCAGAGCUGCUCCGCAAUUCGGAACAAAGCACGGUCAGUGGGAACUACUGGGAGAUUUGCUUUGAAAGUUGGUUCCUGAUCCAAACUAAGUAAUGCUGAUGCACCAAAGUGUUCCAGCUUGGAUCUUAGUGUCAGAGUGGUUUUGGAUCUUCCAUUUAAGAACACUGAUGUCACAACAGUUUCCAAACCUCAACUUUUGAUAACUUCUUCAUAGCCAUAAUCACAUGAGUUCCUUCCCUGUCUUCCACACAGCGGUCCUCUGGUCCCCAGCUGGCAUCGCACUCUCUAAGAGAGAAAAAAGUCUAUUUGAAAGCACGUCUCUGGCCUGGCCAUCAAUGGAAAACAAACACAGACUCUGCAGACCAAGCUAAUUUGUAGAUGUGAUGAAUCAUUACAAAAAGUGAGGGAGGAAAAGAAAAAGAGACGGGAAAUUUUUAAAAAAGUCAACAGAAAGGAAAUGCUUGAACACAGUCUUGAUUCAGCAAAUCCCUUUGGUUUCGUGCUCAACAUCACAGCGAAGCCGUCGGCACCUCGGCUCUGCGUAGGCAGAAGGUAGCUGGGAAGUGACUCACGGGCACAGGAAUACUGAGGGGAAGCCACUGAGCAGCGGGUGUGGGAAAUUUUGCAGGGAAAAGAAAGUCUCUCGGCUCGCAAAAGGCUACAAAGCUCCAUGCCUGUUGAAGGGACAGUUCUGGAUAUUUUCAAGCUAAUAAGAAGCAGCUCCGCGUGCAGUGCUGUGCACAUCUGAGCAGCAGCACCAUUCUAACAGCAGCUGAGAAAGUAGGCAGGGAAAAGGCUACUUUAAGGAGAGCAAUCAGAAAGCUAUACUGAAUUCUACAGGCAAUAAAACUUUUUCCUGUGCUGAGCCA
This 1312-nucleotide long non-coding RNA is filed under the name Anser brachyrhynchus (Pink-footed goose). Its description in RNAcentral is "lncRNA (ENSABRG00000001430.1)". Lineage: Eukaryota; Metazoa; Chordata; Aves; Anseriformes; Anatidae. The record is from RNAcentral.